GGUCAGGACGAACGCUGGCGGCGUGCCUAAUACAUGCAAGUCGAACGGUCUUUCUAUGGAAGCUUGCUUCCACUGGGAAGAUAGUGGCGAACGGGUGAGUAACACGUGGGUAACCUGCCCAUAAGAGGGGGAUAACAUCCGGAAACGGGUGCUAAUACCGCAUAGUUUUCUUGAUCGCAUGAUUGAGAAAGGAAAGACGGCCUUUGUGCUGUCGCUUAUGGAUGGACCCGCGGCGUAUUAGUUAGUUGGUGAGGUAACGGCUCACCAAGACGAUGAUACGUAGCCGACCUGAGAGGGUGAUCGGCCACAUUGGGACUGAGACACGGCCCAAACUCCUACGGGAGGCAGCAGUAGGGAAUCUUCCGCAAUGGACGAAAGUCUGACGGAGCAACGCCGCGUGAGUGAAGAAAGGUUUUCGGAUCGUAAAACUCUGUUGUCAGAGAAGAACAAGUUGGAGAGUAACUGCUCCAGCCUUGACGGUAUCUGACCAGAAAGCCACGGCUAACUACGUGCCAGCCGCCGC
RNAcentral lists this ribosomal RNA (523 nucleotides) under uncultured bacterium. RNAcentral describes it as "bacterial SSU rRNA". It matches the Rfam family "Bacterial small subunit ribosomal RNA", at positions 22 to 518 of the family's 1533-position model. The record is from RNAcentral.